Long non-coding RNA from Mus musculus (house mouse), 15867 nucleotides. RefSeq annotates it as predicted gene, 34861. The transcript is spliced from 2 exons. NCBI's taxonomy places the organism in Eukaryota, Metazoa, Chordata, Mammalia, Rodentia, Muridae. The record is from RefSeq and is a predicted model, not a curated record.
UGGUUUGUUUGUUUACGUGAAAAAGUGUUAUCUGCAAAAAUACCAUUGAGUUCGUUUUGUGUUAGCCAACAACUCCUAGGCAUGGGGCCCACUCUGAAGUGUGGUUAAUAUACCUAGUGAGACUCCACUGGCAAAAAGUACUUUUCUUGUGCGGAUGGGUACCAAUUUCAGAUAGCUUUUUGGUUCAUGGUGGGACGCUGUGUCCACUUCAACCUCUCAGCUCUAGGAUUCCAUCUGGCUUGAUCCCCUGUACAUCCUUUGUGUGCUGUCACAGUUUCUGUGAGUUCGUAUGUGAAUUAGUUCUGUUGUAUACAAAAGACACUUUCUUUGGAGUCAUCCAUCAGCUCUGACUCUUAGAAUCUUUCCUCCUCUUCUGUGUCGAUCCCUGAGCCUUGAAGGGAAGGUGUUGGGUGGCUUAGCAUCUUUUUAUACUUGAUUUUUUUUCCAGAUAAUAUAAAAGCUAUAAAGGCCUAGUAACAUCUAUUUUGUGCAUCUACCUAAGGUCUCUGUUGAAUUCUCUUUGCUCUUCUGACUUUUAAGUCCAUGAGAGCUCUGUUUAGGUGACCAUCCUCUCACCAGGGCAAACCUGCUCCUGCAGGGUGUGACUGGGGCUGGAUGCAUGACUAAGAGAACAGAUAUGCAUUCCUGAACAUUUCAUAACAGAAGAAAGAGAUCCUUUGACAUCAUUCUCUGCUAGAGAAGUAGCGUCUUACUUAAAAUAAAUCAAUAAGUAAACUUCAGUUUGCCUUCCAGUGCUGUGCACAUGUUCAUAAUGACCAUCCUGCCUUGCACAAGCUGAAGAAAACGAUGCAUUCAUAUCUAUUGGCUUGGUAAAAGUCGCCAGAGAAGUUGGAGGUGACUCGGUCCAAGAAUUAAUGAGCUAAGGGUUUUUCCUAACCGCUGUCCCCUCCAUUCAUCCAGACAUUUCUCCCACUUCCUCAUAUUUUACUUCCAUUAUCUUCAUCCGGCAAAUUCAGAUAUCACCAGUGACGUUGCUGCAGAGAAAAAUAGACUUAUCAGUUAUUGAGUCUUGAUGUUCUAUCGCCUCUAGUGCAGAUUAUCCUUUGACCUUGCAAGAGCGUAUUCAUCCGCCUGUGCUUCCUUAAAUGACUCAGAAACUCUGUCCUCUCCUGCCUCCUUCUGUGCUUCCUUGUUCCAGUGGCCUCGCCGCCAUUUUGUUCCACCAACCCCAGUUUCUUUUACUGCUGUUUUGCCUCUGUACAGCUGGUUCUUCACCUUCACUUUUCUCUGUGUGCAUUUUCUUCCUAAGCAUGUCUGGUCUUCAUUUAUGAUGCAUGUCUUUAUUUAAUUUUUAUGUACACAUUUCUCUUCCUCCAAAAGGGCCAAAGACUUUGUGAAGGCAAAAGUCAUGUUGUAACUGAGACUUACACUCAGUUUAUAAGGAGCUCGAAUUUUUUAAUCUAGGGAAAAGACUAGAGCCACAGAUGAAAGUGGUGUAGUUAGUAACUCAUGUUUGGUUGCCUCCUCCAAUAGUCCUGCGGUGGUCAGUGGAGACCACCUUGUCUUCAACCUGAUUCUUGGUCACCGUCCUCCAAGGAUGGUAUCCACAGACAUCAAAGAGUACAAACAGGAGGGACUUUAUUACCAAUUCGUGAUUAUCAACUUCAAGCAGGAUAAAACAGCUUGAAUAUCACCACACAGGAUUUAAAUAAAAUAGGUUUGAACUCUUGUUUGCAGCAGGAUGCUGUCUGGGAGCCGUGGAAGCUCCAGGAAAUGUUUUGUGGUUUGUCUGGAGUUUUUGUUUGACUUCUGCUUGCCUGCUUGCUUGCUUGCUUGCUUGCUUGCCUGCCUGCCUGCCUGCCUGCCUGCCUGCCUGCCUGCUUGCUUGCUUUGGCUUGAGGGCUUAGCUUUGGCUGACCUACAAGUCAGGAUGAGAUGAGGAUAUCGUCCAGUUCACAAGAUCCCCCUGCCUCUGCCUCUCCUACAAUGUUAGAAUUAAAGGCCUGUGCCACCUCUACUUGGCAACCUUGGGGCGUGUUACAGCUUUUGGAGGCUGGAAGCAGCUGUUUGAGUAAAUUCCUGUCUGCGGCUGCAGUAUCUCAGAGGCUGAGGACGAAUGAGUCUCCCCCAACCCCUACUUCUUAUAGCCAUUGGUUGAGUCCUGAGGACAGAGUGGACUUUGCUCCCUGGCCUGGGCAGAAGCCCUGGGUGCCAGGGACCAGCAUCUCCACUGACUCCUAAAGGUAGUCUUUCUUUCUUGUCUGCUGAGUGAGCUGCCUGGGAACUGGAUCCUCAAGUCUUCAUUCAGGCCUCUUCCUUUGAGAAGAACAGGAAUCUCUGACUUCUGUGGGCUUCCGCCUGAACUUAGAGGGUACCGGCUAGACUCUGGCUGGCAGAAUUUGGGUUUGCAAAUAAAACAAGGAAAUGAAACCAAUCCGGGGAGAGCUGUCAAACCCGAUAGAAAAAAAAGGAAGAACCCGAGCCAACCAAAAGUUUCUAAAAGUUCACUGUUAAAUCUGCCAGGUCCCCUCCCCUAUCUCUGCAGAGGGGAACUUUGAAGAAAAUCUGUUGCUGUCUGUUCCCAGUUGCAUGGCCUAGUGCUUCCUUCAUCUAGGGAAUUUUGUUCAGAUAAGAUUUUCUGCUUCUUUGGGGCCCAUUUGCAGCUCUUCUGCCCUCAAGGCUUGAGCUUGCCAGCUGUCUGAAAGCUGCGGAGUGGGGGUGUCUCUGGAGAGGGUGCCCCUAACAGUGCAAUGCUCUAUAACUGUUUCUGGCCAAUCCUUGACAACUAAACCGCUGUUUCCAACCCUUAAAAUGUGACUAGUAUGACACCAUAGAGGAUUUAUGAGGGUGUAGGUGGGAUUUGUGUGUGUGUGUGUGUGUGUCCUGGGUUGUUUUGUUGAGACAGAUUCUCAUGUAGCCCAGGCUAGCCUCAAACUUGCUGUGUAGUCAAGGAUGACCCUCAACUCCCAAUUCUUCGUCCUCUACCUCCUAAAAUAUGGGGUUAUAGGCAGGUAUCACUAAAGUCUAGCUUUGAGUUUUUACAUUUCAGUUCAUUUACAUUUAAAUUGUCACGCUGUGCCUCGUGGCAACCAUAUUGGAUAGUACAGGCACAGACAGGUAAUGUAAUUAUGCCAAGAAAUGUGAACCCUACUUUCCCUGUACUAUAGUCAAGGGUAUCUGGAAAAACACUUGUGUUUUUGCAUACGGACCUAAUGCUGGAUAUGUGUAUCAACCCCCCAAAUGCUAUAUGUAAAGAUGUAGACAAAUCAAUACACCUUGUGGCACGUUGUAGACCAGAUAGACCUUUGUAAGCCACCUUGCUUCUAACCAUAAAAAGUUCCUGUCAUAUAGUGUGCACUUGGAAGAUGUCCAGAGAAUGGGAAGAAUGGGAGUUGUAGUAAGAAUUCCAGUCCCACAGAAGUUACCACCUUUCUUAGAAAUCAUUUUUUACCCUUAAAAAAUGUUUAUUAUAUUUUAUUGUGUGUGUACUCCUGUGGCAAUUGGGUUCAACUUGUGGGUGUUGGUUUUCUCCUUUUUCCAUGUGGGGUCUGGGAAUCAAACCCAGGUCUUUUGGUUUGAAGGCAAGGCCCUUCUCUGUUAAGCAGUCACCUUAUCGGCCCAGAGCCACUUUCUCCUAAACAAGGCUCUGUAGAAGAGCUGUUUCCAAAGUUACGCGACUACUGCAGAAGGACUGCGUGGAAGCUGCAAGGCUGCUGAGAAGAUCAUCGAGGUCAGUAAGUGUUACAUCUCCAUCCAUCGUGAGGGAAGCUUGGCUAUCCAGGCUACCCCUGAAACGUUUACAAAGAAACACAGGUUUACCAUUGCUUCUGAAACGACUGUGCUCAUCCGGGCACAAGCCAUCGGCAUUUUCAUCAGACCAGGAGUGACAAAAAGGGACAAGAGGACCAGUUAAUUACUGAGAUCAUCUGAGGUUCGUAUGUUUGACAUCAUAGCGUUUCCCACAACCUGCCCAAGUAAUUACUCUCUGUCCCGAGAGUAAUGCUGAAAUACCACCUCUCAUGUCUCUUUAUACCCGUGUGUUUUACUAAAAUGCUCUGCAAGCUGCAGGGUCCUCAGAUCCGUUUUCAGAUGAGCUGUUACAACCUGACUGGGAACGUUCAACGUAAUACUACCAGCAUGCUUUAAGAGAAAAUAAAGUUUAUUCUUGUUCAAGUUAAAGUCUAGACACGCCUCAACUUGUCAACUCUGGCCAAAUUUAUAAAUUAUUUAACACCAGUAGAGUAAUACAAUCUUUAUCCUGGAUGAUUCAAACCUUGAUGUAACUAAACUGAUGAGCCAGUAGAAAAACCACUUAACAUGUACUUGAGACCGUAUACUCUCAUGAAAAUAUACAGGUAGCCAAGCAGUUGUGAAACAUGUACAUAAUUUACUAUGAAGGGCUGUGACACACAAGAGUGUCUCCUAUAUGGCACAAUCAGGUUAGUUAAGAGCCAGGAUCUAUGUGGAGAAUAAAAACACUGUGACAGUGCUGGACGCAGGUGACCUCAAUGAUGAGUUCCCACUACAAAAUCCCCUUACAGAAGAAUGUUCCAGGCAUAGUGACCUGAAAUUUAUUUCAUGUUUCGAAGAGGAGUGGGUGUUUCCCAUGAAGCCUGGUCCACUGAGAUGCUUCUGAUACCACAGAAAACAAAGCCUCACAUUUAGGAAAGCCAUAUCAGGGGAAUCCACUCCUUUGGGUCCUGGGACAUCCAGCCUCAAUGAUAACUUGGAACCCAGUAGAAAGAAACUUACACACAGAGAAACAAUGGUAGACCCUGAUGCAUGGAAGAAGGAGAGCUCCUGCCCUUGAAUUAGAGCAUUUCUUUUAAGUGAAGGCACUAGAACAUUCUAAUAAGAUUAACUUCUGAAACAUAUAUCAAAUUAUUUUCUGUGCUUAUUUUCAUUACUGGUCUUCAGGGAUGCUCAGUAUCUCUGAGCAUAGAAAGAGAGGCGUUUGUGCCUUCUAUAUUGUGAAAUAUAAUACAGAGAAUGGAAGCACAAAUUAUCACAAACCAAGCACCACCAAGCACUGUCCCAUAGGCCAAAAAACAUUACUAGCAAACGAGAAAGUUUUCCUAUGAACUCUCUGCUUGCUUCACCCACCUACUUGCCAAGGUAGCCACUGUCCUGAGUUUUAUGAUAAGCACCCCCUUGGAGUUCUUUAUGGUGCUUAUCAACCAGGCAUGAGGCUUUUGCCUGGCUUUGUUUUGCUUUUAUUUCAAUGCAAUUGCUUAUAUGAUUGCAUGUGUGAAAUUGGUUCUACAACUAAUGGAUAUGUAAGGUGCUUCCAGUUUGAUACUACUAAGAUUAUUGUGAAUAUUUGUAUAUAUGUCUCUAAGAGAAUAUACAAAUUUCUGCUAAGGACGUACAGGAGUGUGUGAUUGUAAGUCAUAAAGUAUGUUCCAAAGGAAGUGUACAAAAUGUGUUGUAAUAAAACACUCCCAAUGCCACAAUGUUUACCGUUCAUAUCUUAAAACUUUUUGACCACUGGGACACCUUAUAAAGUAUCCACUCUCAUAAAGUAUGUCACUCUUAACAGUUGAGACCCUUGUCCUCGUUUGCUUCCUAUUGUCAAGAUAUACCCCGUGAUCAGAAGUAACUUGGAAGAAAAAGACUUAUUAUGUCUUGCAAGUCCAUCGUCAAGAGAAGCCAGGGCAAGAACUCAAGCUGAAACCUGGAGGCAGGAGCUGAGGCCAAGACUAUAGACAGAGUCCUGCUUACUGGUUUGCUCCUGUGAUUUGAUCAGUUUGCUUUCUUAUCUGCCUCAGGGCCAUGUGCCCUGGAAAGGCACCUCCCACAGUUAAGCUUGGCUCUCCCACAUCAAUCAACCACUAAGAAAAAGCUUGACAGACAUACCCACAGGCUAAUCUGAUACAGGCAGUUCCUCCACUGAUGUUAUCUCUUCCUUAAUGACUCCAGUUUGGGUCAAGUUGACAAAAAUAAAAUAAAAUAAAAUAAAAUAAAAUAAAAUAAAAUAAAAUAAAAUAUAAAAAUAAAAUAAAAAUAAAAACUCAACAACAAAAAAACCUAACCAGCACAAACCUCAAGUUUUCUACUGAAGGCUGUUUCUUCCUAAGUACCUUUCUGUAUACCAUAUAAGAAAUUAAAACUGGGGCUGGUGAGAUGACUCAGUGGUUAAAAGCACUGGCCGCUCUUCCAGAGGUCAUGAGUUCAAUUCCCAGCAACCACGUGGUGGCUCACAACCAUCUCUAGGGGGAUAUGAUUCCAUCUUCAGGCAGGCAGAUAUAUAUGAAACAGAGCACUCAUCCAUUAAAUAAAUAAAUUUGAAAAAAAUUUUAAAAAGAAAGAAAUUAAAACUGAAAAGAAUUCAGAAUAUUUCUUUUUCUUUACACAUACUCUAAGAAGCAUGAAAAUAAAAUAAGGUCUAUUUUCCAGAAUAAAAGCUUGAGAAGAACGUCCCUUCCUUUUGUGUUUCUAUAAGUCUUACCAGUACUGACUUAAUGGACAGCUAAGAUUAAUGAGCUUCCCAAGUCUGCUUCUGAAUUCUCUGAGGAGGUCUCCCAUGACCUGUGUCCUCUGGGAAACUUCCCUUUGCACUCAUGAGAGAAUGAGAGUUAAAAAGGCUAGUGCCUCAGCUGACCCCCUCAAACGAUUUCUAGAAUUCACGGGGGCUUCUACACCUCAUCUUGAGGGCUACAGCCCUAAAUAUUUACUUAGUUGUCUGUGAAGCACUCACUGAGAAAGUCUAGACAAAAUGCAUUCCAAAAGCAAUUAAUGAUAUUGUCACAAGAAAUACUAUGUAAGAGUCUAAUUCUCCCCUGCCUCGGACAUGCAACAAAUUUUGUGUGUUCUUUUUGCCAUUAAAAAAAAAAAAAGGGAAAAAAAAUAUAUACACUAUUAAUAAAACAAAGUUGUCAAAAAUAUUUAAGGCAUAAUGGCAUAAUAUAUUUUGAUUGAUACAUGGAGGAUUUUUCAAUUUCACAUAAUCAAAUUUUGAAACUUAUUCCUACAAAUUUUGAGACCCAGUCCAUGGAUAACCAGAAACAUUAUUGUGGGGCAGCUGAACUCAGUGUGACUUUUGUGAUAAAGUAGGAUUUGUUUGCUUGUAUGAUCAGACUCUCUCCCACUUUAUAGACUCAUAAAGUUCUUUUUACUGCUGCAUUUAGAUCCGUGGUAACUAGUUAAAGAGAUCAGUUACUACUAAAGUAGUUUCUACUGCUAUAGACAGCAUGUCUCGCUAGUCCCUUAUUCACAGAUCCCAGCAUUUGACCUUCAUCCUUCCGGGUCGCUGGACUCUCUUCUUCUGAAGUGUGUUGUGGCCAACAACAUUCAAGUACCAGGGACAAGUGAUAUUCUCAAAGACGGGUCGAUGUGCUCCUAAUGCCAGUGGAAAUUGUUUUUCCUAUUGAUUAAAAACCUCCUUUCAAAGAGGUGAGGCAGUUCCUUGUGAGCUAGGACAGCACUAACACAGAGAGCCAAGCUGUAACAAGUCAUUGCUCUCCAGGAACCUGUAAUGCCCGAGAUCCCACAGAGAUGUUCCAUGCUUUAAGCCUACAGACUCUGAGAAAUUCUUAGUCUAUAUUCGGGAGAAUUUGCAGAGGGAAGUAAUCAGCCUUCUUAGUUCUAACAAACUGGCCACCUGCUUACUCACCACUUCCUGCCUUUUCCUUCCUAAAACGGAAGCUGACUUUGCUCUCCACAGACUCCGGCUGUGCUGUAAGAAAGCUUCUGUGAGCAUACUGGGGUACACAUGUACUGGGGUACACAUGCCCCUCGGGUCCCUCUUACAUUUACCCUCACAAAGUCUAAGAAGUUUUCCCUUCAGUGUAACUACUCCAGCCACAAACAACCACACCCUUCCAAGCUCAGAUGUGAACGCUGUUUAAAUCCUCGUUGGAAGUGACCUGGGCAGUAUCCGCACUCGGCCUCAGAGUCUGAUCCCCAGAGUCAGAGCAGAGCAAGCAUCUGCUUUCGAAAUGUAUUUUAAAAAAUAUUGACAUUCUACAUUUGUUGUUUUGUUUGUUUGUUUGUUUGUUUUAACCAAAGAUACAUGCUGGUUUCUUCAUGGUCUUCAUUUCUAUCCUCAUUUUUAACACCUGUUGCUUUCUUCUUCUUCUUCUUCUUCUUCUUCUUCUUCUUCUUCUUCUUCUUCUUCUUCUUCUUCUUCUUCUUCUUCUUCUUCUUCUUCUUCUUCGUCUUCCUCUUCCUCUUCCUCUUCCUCUUCCUCUUCUUCUUCUUCUUCCUGAUAGACUCAUCAUUUUCUUUUCUGUUUUUCAACUGAGGUCAGUGAAGCAAAGAAUCAGUACAGUGAGCCAAGUGACAGUGUCUGGGAAGAGCAAGGACCAAGGCUAGAAAGUCUCUCUAGGAGAAGCCACGGCAGGAAACCCUGAUUUGCAUCUGUCCCCAAAUAGAGUCCAGCAUAGAAGGGACCAUAGAGAGCCAGACUGCCAGACAAGAAUAUGAGAGUGCGCGUUGGGAUGCCAACAAGUUGUACCACAAAGUAUUCUGAGUAUGGUCUUGAGUAUCCUUGGUCUGGCAUCUUUUAUACAAAUACUGGAGAGUUUGAAAGUGUUGAAUACCAAAUUUUUAUCUCUGCUUUAAGGCAUUCAAUUGCCAUGGCCUAUCAUCACACGGGUUUUCUUCAAUAGAAAUGCUGAAUCUGCUGGGUAAAAAGUAAAUAUUCCGAUUUGUAUGUAUGCUGUGUCAAAGAGGAAAUUUUAAUUCACAUAACAGAAAUUUUGAUCCAAACUAUCUCUAAUGCUCCGUUUUGGUGAGUACAUACACGUUUUAAAACUUGAACCACGGACCUCCAUGGAGAAGCCACCCAGCCUGGAUGACUAGUAGGCGCAAGGCUGGACAGCAAGCUAGAAGAAACUGUAAACCCAAGACUGCUGCAGCAGUUAAAUACCUCACAGCAGGAACACCAUUUUCCCAUUCUCAUCUCACCUGCAGGCCUCUAGGAUCUCACAGGCAUUUACAGCAAAGGUCUAGGGCCCUUGAGGGAUGCCUAGUACCAUAUUAAGUUUCUUCAGCCAAGGCCUAUGGGUGUGUUGUGGGGAGGGAGGUAUAAGUGUGUGUAAAUUAUUACUCGGGCCUGAGCAUCCUGAGAGAAUUGUCAAUAACUGACUAGGAUAGAGCAGGCAGUAAUGUCAUUAGGUUAGGGCUGGCUGUCACAAGACAGAAAACAAAAAGUAGAGUUAUAUAAAAAGAUGACAAAGGGAAGGUGUCUGAUUUCAUACUAGACAGUGGACACAUGAAGAAACUGUCCCUAUGCCAUAAUCUUCAAAGAGGAGUUUGCACCAUCAGCUGAAGAGCUAUGCUCUGACGAUCAUGGAGACGAAAUCCAAAAAGGUUGAGGAGAAGUGGAACGAGCUGGCUCGGAAACAGGAGGAGGAGGCAGCCCAGAAGCGACCCGUGGAGGUGAACUUUGCCAAUGACUCCAGGGACAAAUAUAGCCAUCUCACUGGCAGAAGAGCAGCCAAGGACGCAGCCCACGUGCUACAGGCUAGCCGUGGCUGUGUACCCGUGACGAACAAACAGGACACAGUCCACAGAAGAGAAUAUGUAUGAAGUUGGAGCCAGUAAACACUGUGGCAGAAUGGCAGAGUUGCCAGCCACCCUCUAGGCAUCCCACCCCACUCCCUCCGACCCUCCAGCAAGGUCGGGGCAUGGAAGGGCAAAGAUGCUACUAUCAAGACCCAUCCUGGAGCCCCAUUUCCAAACUAUGAGGUCCUAUCAGCUGUUAUUUGGACUGGAGAAGAACUGGUUGUUUAUCACUGUUGCAGUUUGGACAUUGUGUGUGUGCGGGUGUGUGGGUGUGUGGGUGGGUGUGAAUAUGUGGGUGUGAAUAUGUGGGUGUGUAUUUAUAUUAUUCCCUAUUAUUCUUGGAACUUUCUUCCUCCUUGGAGCUGGGGUUACUUUACAUUGAAUAAACACUGUUUGGCCCUGGGGAGGGAGAACUCAUCCACGUAACCACGCUGAAGUUAGGGAAGGUUGCCUGUGGUAGGAGGGUCACAGGAUGAACCUCCUGAGAGCAGGGGACAGGUUGGUGGAAGGUGAACAUCAAGAUGCUUCCGACAGAGAAGCCAGACACCACCUGGAAGAGCAUGAUGCCAGAUGUUGAGGGACAAUGAAGAGGCCUGGGCUUAGAAGAGCGAAGGGAUGCUCUGUGAAUAAAGGAGUGCUGGGUCUACUCCAACCCAGCAGGGCACAGUCUUCAGGAAAGUCGGCCCAGUCGGAAUGGCGACCCACUGACCUUGCAUAUUUGCACCUCAGUCUGCCUUUGCAGUGGUGGGAAGCAAAAGGCGACCAUAACUUUCUAAAGACAACACCAUCAUUCAGUGGCUUGGAUCAAUCUAUCCGAUCUUAAAAUGCCCGGGAUAGUUUUGCCCUUACUUUCCAAUCCAGAUUUCAGAAUAUAAAUUCAUGAUGUUACUGUGAGGAAAAAAAAGUUGGAAAACUAAGGUUUUUUUGUUUUGUUUUGUUUUGUUUUUUGUUUUGUUUUUUUGUUUUCCUUUAAAAUUAUUUCUAUUUAUUAAGAGUCCAGGAUUUUUUUAUUACAUAUUUUCCUCAAUUACAUUUCCAAUGCUAUCCCAAAAGUCCCCCAUACCUUCCCCCCCACUUCCCUACCCACUCAUUUCCCAUUUUUUUUUGGCCCUGGCGUUCCCCUGUACUGGGGCAUAUACAGUUUGCGUGUCCAAUGGGCCUCUCUUUCCAGUGAUGGCCAACUAGGCCAUCUUUUGAUACAUAUGCAGCUAGAGUCAAGAGCUCCGGGGUACUGGUUAGUUCAUAAUGUUGAUCCACCUAUAGGGUUGCAGAUCCCUUUAGCUCCUUGGGUACUUUCUCUAGCUCCUCCAUUGGGAGCCCUGUGAUCCAUCCAUUAGCUGACUGUGAGCAUCCACUUCUGUGUUUGCUAGGCCCCGGCAUAGUCUCACAAGAGACAGCUACAUCUGGGUCCUUUCGAUAAAAUCUUGCUAGUGUAUGCAAUGGUGUCAGCGUUUGGAAGCUGAUUCUGGGGUGGAUCCCUGGAUAUGGCAGUCUCUACGUGGUCCAUCCUUUCGUCUCAGCUCCAAACUUUGUCUCUGUAACUCCUUCCAUGGGUGUUUUGUUCCCAAUUCUAAGGAGGGGCAUAGUGUCCACACUUCAGUCUUCAUUCUUCUUGAGUUUCAUGUGUUUAGCAAAUUGUAUCUUAUAUCUUGGGUAUCCUAGGUUUUGGGCUAAUAUCCACUUAUCAGUGAGUACAAAUUGUGUGAGUUCCUUUGUGAAUGUGUUACCUCACUCAGGGAAAACUAAGUUUUAUCUUAGAGAAAAGCCAUAUAAUAAAAUACAGGUUGAUAGCCAGUUAUGUAACUUACCUAAAAUAUAAAUGUAUUUCAGCUAAGUCACAUCUCCUUGGGGCCAAUCAAUGAAAAGACAGGUCUGGCUUCCCUUUCUAACCUCAUGAUAAGAUUAUUAAGAUUACUUUACUGGGGCUAGAGAUAUGGCUCAGUAGAUAAAAGCACUUACCAUAUAGAAGCACCAUCUCUAGAAGCUCAUGGGCCACCUAUGUGCAGAGCGUGCACAGUAGUGAUCAAUAAGAGAUCACUUAAAUAGGGAAGAUGGCAAAGACAUGCACCAGAGGUUCGCAUCUGACCCCCACACAUGGGCCAUGGCAUGUGUGCCCACACUUACAUUCCUCAUACACACUAUACACGCUGCAUAUGCACACACACAAAUAAUACCUUGUCCUAUGGAAGAAUAUGAUGAUUGGGACUGGCAUAUGGUUAAGCCAAUGCAAGAGGAAUGCAUGGAACAUAAAUGGAUUAUAGAAGUGAAUAAAACAAGGCUGGCCAUGUAAAAGUGGGGUUCUGAGUAUAUGAGCAUAGGGAUGCAUAUACCUCUUUUGUAUAUAUUUCAAACUUUAAGAAUUAUAUCUAGGAUCUACGAGGCAGGCGAGAUGGCUUUGUCAGUCAUCUGCCACCAAGCUGAAUGACCUUAGUUCCGUACCUAGGACUCAUGUGGUGGAGAGAACUCCCACAAGUCCCUCCCUAACCUCCAUAGGUACACACACACACACACAAUAAUUUAUGAUUAUACUUGAAUUUUCCAUCUAGCCCGUAUUUUUAUUGCGAUUUUAAAAUCAAUUCCUAUUGUGAAAAAUCUAGAAAAGAUUAUCAAGGGUAAAGGAGUAAAAUGUCCCUGUGCUUGGCAAAUCCUAUUACUUAGAUAUCAAAUCUGUUACUGGUGCCACCCCAGCAAUAUAAAAGGAUCCAUUUUGUGGCAUGGACUAGUCAUUAACUUUAAUGCCAUGUUUCUUCAGUAUUAUAGGGACUAAUGCCUUCCCAAGUUUUUGUAAGAGAUGAAAAAAAGUGUUUUAUAUAUACAUUUAUAUAUGUGUGUGUGUGUGUGUGUGUAUAUAUAUACACACACACACAUAUUCUACUUACUAUUUAACCACUAUCAGUUGUGUUGAUUCCAAGGUCAGAUCCAGGAAUGAACUAAGGUGAAAAAGCAUGACUUCCCCUUAAACAUUAAACUCUGUGAGAGAACAAAGAUAUCUGACCAACUACUAUCCACAGUUUGGCAAAACAUCUUGACAAAGCACUGCGAGCAACCGACGCCUACAGAAAAAGAAGAAAGGUAUUUCUUCAUCCUAACCAGAAAGACAGUAUUUCAUGUUUCAUUACAGUUGUAUACAUUGGCUAACAAAGUCCUGCAAAACGUGGCUGCUUCAAACAGCAGAAGGAUUGCCACAUUUGACAACCGUUUCUUAAGAUUCGUUUUGGGGGCUGAUGGAGACAGGAGUAACUAGGGGGCCGGGGCUGAUUCACACAAUCUCUUAAGAAGUUGCAGCCACACUGAGCCAACCCACAACUACCCUUGCUACAAGGGUCUCUGCAGAGGCUGCCUGAGUGUCUCAAGGACAAGGCUGGUGUUUUCCCAUAAAGUGAUUGGACAGAGAGAAAUGAGCGAGGAAAGGCAGUUAAGAACGAACCCGAGUGAGAGUGUCCAUGAUAGAACAUGCCUCAUCUGUAAUCUGGUACAGGAAGUGACAGGACACCAUCCUGAUUAAUCCUAUAGAUCAUACACUGUAGAACAAAAUAACAAAGGCUGUGAACACCAGGAAGUAUGGGUUGCCAAUUACGUUUUAGAGGCUGGCGACCACAUAGAGGAUGAAAAGAAAAUAAUAACACCUCAAAGCACUAGAGAUAACAUGUAUGAAAAGAGUUCUGAAGAGAAAUAAAAAAAGGGGGGGGGUGUUAAUGCUACAAAUCUCUAUGUUCAAGAACAGAGAUGCACUAUCAAACAUUCAGAGGCUUAGUUAUAGAAAACAGCAGUAGCAGUGGCUACUAAAUUCUGUUUCCCCCGUAUCAUUCUCAGAUGGAGUUCUGUGUGCCUUGCCCAAGCCAAGCUCCUGGCUUCUAACCCCACCCCUGUCUGCCUUGACACAGCUGCUCUACUUCAGCUCUGGGUUGACUUAGAAAUUUGACCACCCUGAUCAAGGAACUGUGAUGGCACAGAAGAGAAAUACAGCAUAAGGUUUCUGACAGCAACAAACCUAAAAUUUCAAGUUAAAAAAAAAAUAAUCGGAUAUGUAUGGCACACAUCUUUAAUCUCAACACUCAGGGGCAGAGGGCAGGCAGAUCUCUGUGAGUUUGAAGCCAACCUGGUCUCCUGGGACUGGGAUUAUAUUUGUGAGCUAUCAUGUUGGUUCUGAGAACUGAAUCGGGUCCUCUGGAAGAGAAACUACUGCUUUCAACCACUGAGCCAUCUCUCCGGCCCCCACUACUCAUGAUUUUGAAAGGUUAUUUUUAGGUUUCCCACCAUGCUUUGAAAAUGCAAGACAUCAGCACUGAGCAAAUCUGCUCUUGCUUCCUACCUCAAUACAAUAACUUUACAGUAAUUGAUGUGGGUGAGUCUUCAAAGAGUAGAUAACGUCCAGCCUACCGAGAGAACCCCAUCAUCAGGGAUAUUGAUCCGGUUGUGAUAAUAAAGCACAAUCUUUUGACAAGUAGAUAUCAUCUCAUCAAAACAGACCCAGGCUCAGCAGUAGCCAGAAACGUGGUUAAUUACGCAAACUGAAGAAUGAUUGCUGAGGCCCAAGAAGGAAGAAAGGGGCCAGGGUGCGUGAGGGGUGGUUGCUAUGCUGCAUCUGAAAGUCAGAAAACAACACCGUGGAACUCAGAGGCAAACUUCAGCAGCCAGUUCUCUACCGUACAGGGCCCAGUGAGUCCCAGGGGUCAAACUCAAGUAAGUCCGGCUUGGCAAGGAGGCCCUGUACCGGAUGAGCUAUCACAGUCGCCAGAGGGAAGAACGCUCAGGAAGAGGUAAGAAGGGGCUGGGAGGCAGGGCAGAGGCAUGCUGACACUGACUGCUUUGUUUUGUUGUUUUAUCUAAUUUUUCUAAUACUGGUUGAAAAGCAAGGGAAAUAUUUUCAAAUAACAAGGCCAUACCUAAUACCUAUUACAUUCGAAUAUCUGGAUAGCAGAACCCCAAUGUCGGUACUAUUUUAAAAGUUCCCCAAGACUUGUUGCCUGAAGACGACGAGUGGAGCAGAAGGAAGCGUCGGCAGUUCUAGGAAUUUGUUUGAAUCAUAAAUUCUGCUGGGGCAGGACAGGUGUCUUUGUCUUUAAGAACUUGCCGUGGCCUGAGCUCAGCUCCCCGAUAUCCAUUCACAAGGCAGCUUCAGAGGUAGUACCUGAAAUCUCAGCGAGACAGGAGGACUCCCGAGACUCACUGACCAACCAGUGAGGCUAGUCACAUCAGUAAGGGCUACCAUCAGUGAGAUGACGCCAUCUCUCAAAAAAAAAAAAAAAAAUAAAGUGAAGAACGAUUGAGACCACCCAGGGGCAGCAUCUGGCCACACGCGUGCUUACACAGGUGUUCACACACAGGAGGAAGUGUUAGUUCUCCGGCUUCAUCCCAGAUCCACUAAAUCAAACUCUGUGUUCAAAGAACUAGCCCAGAUCACUUUGGUGAACAUUGAAGUCUGACAGCUGCUCUCGUGUGGUAACACAUACAGGACAGGAGACAGUACAUCCGUAAGUAAAAGGACUGUAAUAAAUUUGACGUUUGGUGGUGGCAAGUGGCCGAGGCGUCGCAAAGACAAACAGUUAAAGCUAUAGUAAUGAAGGUAAUCAAAAGAAGAAUUGGUAUCAAGCCAGUUUACCUUUGAGUAACGUGAAGGCUGGUCUUUGUUUUAUAGGAAUAAAAUAAGAGAAAGCUAAAUAAGGAAGAUGUAAGAAUCUAGAGUAAAUACAAGGCCAACAGAAAAACAUCCCUCAGCUUACACAAUCUAACUAGGCAAAAGGGAAAUCUCACACACAUUCUUGAGCAGGCGGGAGAAAUAACGCAAUUGACCAUGUACAAGGUAAUCCUUUUUAAUGGGUUCUAGGCAGAAACUGUUUAAUCUAAAAUUUUAUAUAAAAUAAUUUGGUAUGGUAAGUAAUUGAUCUUGAUGAAGUUUAGAACAAAACUCCAGUAGUAUACAAAUGAAUGCUAUGUAUAUUUAAUUAGUAAACGUGGUUAAUCAUGGUGCAUGACUCACAGGCCUGAAUAACCUCCUUCUCCUAAUUUUAAAGCCUUGGCUAAAACUACAGGCUGGAGAGAUGGCUCAGCAGUUUAGAGCACUGGCUGCUCUUCCAGAGGUCCUCAGCACACACGUGGCAGCUCACAGCUAUCGGUAACUCUGCCUCCAGGAGAUGUGACGCCCUCUUCUGCCUAUGCAGGCACUGCAUGCACACAAUGUGCAGGCGUACACGCAGGCAAAAUAACCGCACAAAAAAUAAAAAUAAAUCUUGAAACAAACAACUAAGGGCGGGACAUGUAUGGUAGAGUGUUUGACUAACGUACACGAAGUCCUCAGUUCAGUUGAACAAUCAGCUCUGCAAACCCAGGCACGGUGGCACAUGUCUGUGAUCUGGGGAGGGGGGCAGGGGAGGGAGUGGGGGUGCUUUCUACAUCAUG